UGAAAUGUUAUUUACUGAAAAGUUAUUUUUUGUCUCAAAUUUAUGACUAAUGCUGAACCUCUUGCUAACUUUUGAGAGUCUUGUAGUAGUCAGGUGAAGAUUUGAUUAAAAUUAUUUCCUUUUGAUGUAAUUAUAGAAUUUACAUAUUUUAUUUUGAAAAUAUGGUUAGGUGAUCCAUAUAAAUUAUAGUUAAGAUCUCUAUUUUAUUGUAUAUUCUGUUGCUAGCUUGAAGGAGUAGAGCUCAUAGUUGUUGUAUUUUAUUUCAAAUAUUGUAUCGUAAAAUUUUUGGGAGGUUAUGUUGAAAUUUCUAAAAAAAUAUUAGAACUUUUAUUAUAAUAUAUAUAUAUAUAUAUAUAUUAUUUAGCAAAUAAAAAUCUUGGUACAAAUUCAAUUAUGUCUUAGGAAUAGAAGAAUUUCUCAAUUCAAGGCUGAAUUGAUGUGCGAUAUGCAUCAUACCUUACCUAUUACCUUUUAUUUUCGAGAUGUGACAUUUCAUUUACCUGGAAUCAAGGGGAGUACUUUGUUUGCUGCAAAAUAGACAUCUUCAAAAUUUGGUGAAGUGCCAAAGGGUCAUCUAGAAGUGUAUGUCGGAGUGGAAUUGAAAAGGAGGUGCUGGCUUGUAAAGACAACAUAAACUUAGAUUAGUCAACACAAUUUUGUAUAGAAGACAAUACAUAUAGUUUAAUUUGCUAUGAGAAGAUUCACCCCUCUUUUUCUUACCUCACUUGGGAAUUGAAAAAUAAUUUGUAUCUGCGAGAAAUUUACCAAUAGAAUCUUCACACGAUUUCAAUCAA
Long non-coding RNA from Prosopis cineraria, 794 nucleotides. RefSeq lists it as uncharacterized. The record is from RefSeq and is a predicted model, not a curated record. The transcript has 2 exons. Lineage: Eukaryota; Viridiplantae; Streptophyta; Magnoliopsida; Fabales; Fabaceae.